AUACGGAGGAUCCGAGCGUUAUCCGGAUUUAUUGGGUUUAAAGGGAGCGUAGGCGGACGCUUAAGUCAGUUGUGAAAGUUUGCGGCUCAACCGUAAAAUUGCAGUUGAUACUGGGUGUCUUGAGUACAGUAGAGGCAGGCGGAAUUCGUGGUGUAGCGGUGAAAUGCUUAGAUAUCACGAAGAACUCCGAUUGCGAAGGCAGCCUGCUGGACUGUAACUGACGCUGAUGCUCGAAAGUGUGGGUAUCAAACAGGAUUAGAUACCCUGGUAGUCCACACAGUAAACGAUGAAUACUCGCUGUUUGCGAUAUACAGUAGGCGGCCAAGCGAAAGCGUUAAGUAUUCCACCUGGGGAGUACGCCGGCAACGGUGAAACUCAAAUGAAUUGACGGGG
This 393-nucleotide ribosomal RNA is filed under the name uncultured bacterium. RNAcentral's name for it is "partial 16S ribosomal RNA". It matches the Rfam family "Bacterial small subunit ribosomal RNA", at positions 523 to 918 of the family's 1533-position model. The record is from RNAcentral.